GACGAACGCUGGCGGCGUGCCUAAUACAUGCAAGUAGAACGCUGAAGCGAGGAGCUUGCUCUUCUUGGAUGAGUUUCGAACGGGUGAGUAACGCGUAGGUAACCUGCCUUGUAGCGGGGGAUAACUAUUGGAAACGAUAGCUAAUACCGCAUAACAAUGGAUGACACAUGUCAUUUAUUUGAAAGGGGCAAUUGCUCCACUACAAGAUGGACCUGCGUUGUAUUAGCUAGUAGGUGAGGUAAUGGCUCACCUAGGCGACGAUACAUGGCCGACCUGAGAGGGUGAUAGGCCACACUGGGAAUGAGACAAGGCCAAGACUCCUACGGGAGGCAGCAGUAGGGAAUCGUCGGCAAUGGGGGCAACCAUGACAGAGCAAAGCCGCGUGAGUGAAGAAGGAUUUCGGAUCGUAAAGAUAUGUUGUAAGUCAAGAACGGGGGUGAGAGUGGAAAGUUCACACUGUGACGGUAGCUUACCAGAAAGGGACGGAUAAAUAAGUG
Molecule: ribosomal RNA, 497 nt
Filed under: uncultured bacterium
Lineage: Bacteria
Description: partial 16S ribosomal RNA
Rfam family: Bacterial small subunit ribosomal RNA
Source: RNAcentral